GAAAUGCGAUAAGUAAUGUGAAUUGCAGAAUUCAGUGAAUCAUCGAAUCUUUGAACGCACCUUGCGCUCCUUGGUAUUCCGAGGAGCAUGCCUGUUUGAGUGUCAUUUAAUUCUCAACCCCACCAGUUUUUUGUGGCUGGCUUUGGUGGCUUGGAUGUGGGAGAAUAUCUGCAGGCCUCAUUUCUUUAUGGUUGAGGUCGGCUCUCCUGAAAUGCAUUAGCAGAACAGUCUGCGGUCUCCAUCGCUGGUGUGAUAACUAUCUACGCCAACAUGAAGAUGGGCUGCUCUCUAAUAGUUCAGCUUCUAACUGUCCUCUUUUAUGGACAAACAGCAUACUUGAUCCUUGACCUCAAAUCAGGUAGGACUACCCGCUGAACUUAA
Molecule: unclassified non-coding RNA, 381 nt
Filed under: uncultured Agaricales
Lineage: Eukaryota; Fungi; Basidiomycota; Agaricomycetes; Agaricales
Description: sequence contains ITS1
Rfam family: 5.8S ribosomal RNA (bases 1-105)
Source: RNAcentral